RNAcentral lists this unclassified non-coding RNA (253 nucleotides) under uncultured Polyangiaceae bacterium. Its description in RNAcentral is "contains 16S-23S intergenic spacer region". It matches the Rfam family "Bacterial small subunit ribosomal RNA", at positions 524 to 776 of the family's 1533-position model. The record is from RNAcentral. Lineage: Bacteria; Pseudomonadati; Myxococcota; Polyangiales; Polyangiaceae.
GACAGAGGGUGCAAACGUUGUUCGGAAUUACUGGGCGUAAAGCGUGUGUAGGCGGCUAGGUAAGUCGGAUGUGAAAGCCCCGGGCUCAACCCGGGAAGUGCACUCGAUACUGCUUAGCUCGAGUACCGGAGAGGUUGGUGGAAUUCUCGGUGUAGAGGUGAAAUUCGUAGAUAUCGAGAGGAACACCGGUGGCGAAGGCGGCCAUCUGGCCUAAUACUGACGCUGAGGUACGAAAGCAUGGGGAGCAAACAGG